GGCUUUUCUCAGCACUUGCAUCAAUCGUUGUACAGUCAGCUCCACCAUUCUACACACCAGGAAGUUGAACUAUGCUCUCAGCGUGAGGGGAGGAGUUGUUUUUUUUUCCCUUUUCCCUCCUCCAUUAAACUUGGCAGUUACUUGUAACUUGUUGCAGGUGGAAGGUGGAAGGAGUGGGAAGCACUUUGGUGCUUGGACUUUGUACUAACAAGUACAAAGGAAGAGUCUGGGAUUUCACAGGAGACGUUAACAGCUUGGCCUGCCAGUGAUUAUGCUUCGGACUAGGAGGACUGCAAGAUUGUUUGAGUGAUGGCCUCUGACAGAUGUCAUCAUAAUCUGCUCUUCACAAAGAUCAGACAAGUUGUUAAUUCUGAUAGCUGGAGGACCUUGUCAAGCAGCUUUUCUGGAAUGUGUCUGGGAAUUUUAUUUGAAGACUUUCUUCUGUGACUUAAGUCACUUUUCAACAUCAGAUUGGAUUGUAAUCCCCCCCCACAAUUCUGUUCCCUUGGGAAUAAAUCACUCUGGACUGGCCUGACUGUGUGACAGCUUUAGAUAGCAGUCAUUCAUUGCAACCUAGAUGAACCUACGCUGCCCUAGUCCCUUUCCUCGCUAGCUGUCCACCAUACGGAACAAUCUGAGGAACCCUCAAGACUGCUUUUUCGCCUUCAUCCCAGUUUUACAGGAAUAUUUUUGAAAUAUUUUUUCUUUUUAGUAACUUUUGAUAUUUGGAUUCUAUCACAUUUUCUAAAUCGCUGACAGACUCUCUAGAGUGUGGGGUCAGCGACUACACUUGAAUAUCUAACGCUGUGUGAACCCCUGGCACUUGGCACGUUUACCAUACAUCAGCAGUCAUGGAGUCUGUAGCAGCUAGAAUGGCCAUGGUGACAGACUCCCCGAACCCUUCAUUAAGGUCGAGGACUACUGUGACGACGGAUGGCGAUUCCUUCGUGAGCACUGUCAGCCUUCCCUGCAGCCACUUUCUCUCUGCCAACUUCAUCAAUGUUGGUCCUAGGGGGGCUGGAGUCUAUCCCAGGUGACUAAGGGUGAAGGCAGGGGACACCCUGGACCAGUUGCCAGUCCAUGACAGGGCCACAGAGAGAGACAAACAAGCACAUUCACACCUAUGGACAAUUUAGAAUCAUCCGUUAACCUCAGCAUGUUUUUGGACUGUGGGAGAAACCCGGUGAGAACCCAUGCAGGGAGAACAUGCAAUGUUCACAUAGAAGGAUCCCAGGCCCAGGGACACGAACCGGGGGUUUUCUAGCUGUGAGGCGACAAUGCUAACCACCAAGCCACUAUGCAGCCCUACAAUGAAAUGCGGGAAUUUAAUGAACUGAAGAGAAAGCAUUUCAUAUCAGAUAAAGCAGUUGUGGAGAGGACAUACAAUCACUUGCAGACAAAUACAGACUGACUGAUUGCAUUUUGUGUUUACAUUUACUGAUUUGACAGUGUUUGUUUAUAUCACUGUUAUACAUGAUCACCUUAGUUGUGUUUAUUUGCACCAAAAAUUUGGUUUGCUGUUGUAUAUAAGCUCACUAAAGUGUCAACUGAAUGAGGUU
Amphiprion ocellaris (clown anemonefish) is the source of this 1559-nucleotide long non-coding RNA. NCBI's taxonomy places the organism in Eukaryota, Metazoa, Chordata, Actinopteri, Pomacentridae. The record is from Ensembl.